This is an RNA transcript of Magnolia sinica, 5361 nucleotides long. RefSeq lists it as uncharacterized. The transcript is spliced from 6 exons. NCBI's taxonomy places the organism in Eukaryota, Viridiplantae, Streptophyta, Magnoliopsida, Magnoliales, Magnoliaceae. The record is from RefSeq and is a predicted model, not a curated record.
CCACCGUUAGCACUGAGAAUAGAAGGGUUAAUUAGAGGUUUAUAUGGUCCAGUCAGAAAUCGUUUAUGGCUUUGAUCAAACAACGUUGGGUGAUACGAUUUAAACCGGUGGGCUUCGUGUACGAGUAUGUGACGCGUCAUCAAUCGUCAUACGGGCACAGUCGCAGGCUGCAUGCGUGGGAACGAACACAUUCCGGCAGCGCAUCACAAAUUCCCUAUUGCGCACUAAAUGCCCCCAGCCCCUUUGUUGCCAUGCGCUAGAAGAUCCCAGCCUUCUGUACGGCGUAACCCCCCCCCCCUGUUCCUUUUCUUCUUCUACAAUGGCGAGCGGAAGCUUAGGUGCGGGAACUGCUGCUCCACCCACAACUUUCCCAGUCUUUAUAGAUACCAAUCUCGAUACCCAUCUCGCCAUGGCCGUCUCAGCCGACGAUACCGUCGCCGAUCUCAAAAGGCAAGUAAUGAUAGAACACGCUCUUUGCUUUCCUGACAUUGGGGAGAUUGCUGUUUGUGCAGUGAAGGUAAGGCGCAGGUCAUGCUUCUAUCACCUAUCAGACGCUAUGCUUGUUAGAAGUGCGUUUGAUGGGAUUAAAGGAACUUGGUAUGUUCACAUGGACGCUGCUUCAACAUGCUUGACGAAAAACCAAGUGAGGUCCAGUGAAAACCCUUCAAGACUGGAGAGUGGAGGGCUGGAAAAGGAGCCUCAUGCAUUAGAGACUGGGGCCUGCAAGUUUCUGGAUAGUUUUGCAGGACGAACUCAGAGUUGUGUCCUGAAUGGCCCUUCAACUGCUGAAAAUCUUCUUCAACUUCAACCUGAUUCUGGCACUGCAUUGCCUGGUUAUUGUGAAAAGCCAGUGCCGUGUGAUCCUCCUCACAGAACAUCAGGAGUUCCUGAUGAUCCCAAAUGUGGAAGUAGCCACAUUGAGAACCAACAAGUUCUCACCAGCAGCCAGUUUGAUCCCAUUGACAAAGAGAUAGCAGCAGCCAAAAACUUAAACCUGGGAGCAGAAGAUUCACGUGCUGAAUUGUGUGUAUCCCCAUUUGAAAUUAUUGAAAGGUCAGAUUCUGAAAUGCUGAAAGUACACAAUCCAGUCAGUGAAAGAAACGGAGCCUUGGAAGCUCAUGUUCCAUUAAAAGAAAAUGUCAGAGAUUCGGAGCAGGGAGUUGGCAGGGACGAAGUGCCAUCGGCAUCUUUGGUUCCCAACAAGGGGGAAAAAUUCAAGAAAAGUAGGGAUUUGCAAAUUGAUAACAGCAUGGGAGAGACUUUGCAGCCUGUAUCUGUUCCAGAGAAAAAGAGGAAGAGGGGAAAGAAAAAGGAAGCUUUUCAGAGACCUGCUGAAAAUAAUUCAAGUAGUGAUGCUAGAGCUGGUGCACAUGGUCAAGAUGCGUCUGAAUUAGAAAAUGCUAACUUAAAGGAGUUAUCCAGUAAACCUCUGAAUGAUGACUGUUCAUCACCCCAGAAUCUUGUUGAAAUGAAAAGGAAGAAAAUAUCUUUGAAAUUUCAAAAUGGAGUAGAUUGUGAAGCUCCUGACAAAAAUGGAUUGUCUGCAGUGCCUCUCCUGGUAAGUGGGGCCGAUGAUGUGAUUACAUCAAAGGAUACUGUUGCUGGAACUGGUGUUGGUUCUCUUGUGGCGAUUGGUACAGAUGAUACUGUUGUUUGCAGUGUGGAAAUUGAGAAGGAUGCUCUGGGAGAAGCCUUUGGAGGGAAAAAAGGGAAGAAGCUGAAGAAGCACCACACUGUUACUGCUAUUCCACCUUUAGUUGAAGUACUAGAGAAUAUUACUUGGAAUAUGACACCUUCGCUACACGAGAAUGUUACUGUUGCUGAUGCUGCUAUUGGCAAUCAUCAGACUGCUGAACCUGAUAGUCACGCAUCUAGUGCACCUCAGUGUAUGAGUACAUCAAGCAAAACUGUUGGUAGAAUGGUGGACUCCGUCAUGGGUAUCAAUAUGGAUAAAUUUGACACAGGUAAGGCAGAAACUGAAAUGGGUGCAUCAGGGCAAGCAAAGGCAUACGGAGAGAAGAAAGCAAAGAAGUCAAGGAAACAUCGUGCAGUUAGUUCAGAAGGCCCGAACCCACCUUCAGUUGAAGGUCCUGAAAAUGUCACGGGGGAUACUACACCUCUGCAACUAUUGGCUGAAGUAAUCGUUAGUGACACAAAUAAUAUGACAGCUUUGCAACAUGAGAAUGUCACCCUUGCUGAUGACAAUAUCGGCAUCCAUCAAAAUGGUGAACCCAACCCUGCAUCAUCAACUGCUCCCCAAGAUAUUGGUAAAGCAGCUGCUGCUGAAACUGUGAUGGAGUCUCUCAUGGCCACCAAUCUGAAUGAAAUUGCGGGGACCGAGGCAGAGGCCAAGAUGGAUGCAUCAACACAAGUAGUCGCAUCUGGAGAUAAAAAAGCGAGGAAGCCGAGGAGGCGUCGUGGUGCUAGUUCAAGAAGCCUCAACCCACCUUCAGUUGAAGAACAUGGCAAUGCCACUGGGGAUACUAUGACUUCUAGGUAUGGGAAUUUCACCCUUGGUGAUGACAGUACUGGCAUUCAUCAGUUUGAUAGAACCGGAAAAGUGGUUAAUACCCUGUCAAAGAACGAAGAACUUAAAUUGACAACAUUAGACACAAGUAAUUCGAAGAAUGAAUCCUUGGGUAUGGAGAAAGCAGAAACAGGUAAAGAUAGGACUGGCACUUUGAAGUUGCUGGAGGCCUCCAAAAUUAUAGAAGCUGGGGAUAUCAAAGAUAGAAAAGGAAAGAAGUCAAAGAAAACUCAUAGUGCUGGUACAACGAGCCAUGUUGAAGAUGCCACUCCUUUGGAUUCUGAUAAAGAUUUUGAUAAUAAAGAACAUGGUGAUGUAACUAAGGAAGUGGCUAAUGGCUUGUCACAGGCGGAAAAGAGAGAAACACCGGAAACAGAAAUUUCAAAUAAUCAGUUGCCAUGCCUUGACAAGGAAGCAGAUAACGCGAGUAGAGAUGAGGUCACUCUGUUAAACACAGCUAGAGUCUCUGGAGUUGAAGAGACUACAGAGUUUAGAGAUGAGAAAGGAAGAAAGAAGUUGAAGAAAGCACCAGCUUCCACUGCAUUGGGCACAUCUGAACCGUUGAUGAAUCAGCAUGACAGUGGUUCUAUAGAUCCUGCACCUUCCAGCCACACGAACAAUGCCAUGGGUGACAUGCAAAAUCUUGAUAUCCAUCACACUGAUGAAAAUGAGAAAGAGGAGAAUGCUUUGCCUAGAAAAACGAAGAAAAUGAAGUCAGGAAAUAUAAAUUUAAAGGAUCCUUUAUCUGGAUCUACGUCACAAGGGAAGAAGGAUACUCGGACCAAGGUUGAUACUAUUGAUUGUAAUUUUGAGGGGAGGCAUCCCAAGGCCAAUGUGAGAGACAAAGUCUCUUGUGUAGAUAGCUCUAUGAAUGUAGCUAAUGAUAGUAGGGUCAACUUCAAAAGGUUCUUUGUGCCUGAAAAAGAGCAGCAACUGUCUGUUGACUCUGCUGAAGAUGUAGCAUCUAGGGAAGCUCCAAAGAAAUCACACAAAGAGAGAACUAAUAAGCCUACAAGAAAACCUAAUUCUCAAUCUCAAGAUGUGUUUUGUUCAGAGAGCCCCUCCAAUUCACGUGAUCGCCCCAAGCGUAGAAAGAAAACACAAGAUAGCAAUGCGGAUGCUGUUGAAAUUGAAGGACCCUUAUCAAAGGAUGAGCAGGGCAAACAUGCGCUGCAUGGUCAUGAUAAUUUUGUGGCUCCAAAGAGAAGCAAAUCCUCAAGGGCAAAGGUUAGCAAUGCUUCUGGAAACAAUACCUCCGUGCAUGUGUUUGCAGUUGAGGGUUUGAAAGAAAAUGAUGCAAACCAGGCCACAUCAGGUGGUAUUACUGAUUUAGGGGACACAAUUUAUGCUAGUAGAUUGGGUAGGCAUGUUGUGUCACCUUCCAACCGUUACCGUGUGGCAGUUAGAAAGGUCCCUAGUAAGAAAGUCGGGGAAGUAUUGGACAAUUCAGACGUAGAGAAGAGCUUGCUAGCUUCUUCAGACUCGAUAUUCAAGCAUAUUAGUAGUGAAAGUUCUCAAGAUGAUGGUGAAGUAAAUGAUUCUGAUGCAACCACCAUUAGUCAUUCGAAUGAUUCCUCUACAUCUGCUUAUACGGAUGGAGAACAGGAAGGAGCACACUCGAAACCUGCAUCACCAAAAAACCAGUUAAACAUGGAUUCACCAGGAACUGGUUUUGAAUGGGAGUGAAAGAGAUUUUGGGGAUGUCCCUCCCACAUACCAUGAAAAAAAAGAAGAAAUUGAGUUUGGGAUGAAAAAAGAAGGGAUCUUUAAUCGAAUUGAGAGAGACUUGUGGGAUGUUCUUGUCACAGAUCUCUUGACUCUAAUCUGAACAUCAAGAGAGGGUGGGUUCAGGCACUGAUAAAAGUGGAGAAGACGACAGAGAUGGGUGGCCGAGGCGGCAAUCAUUGUAGCAGGGAAAUUCAGGGAGCCGAUAGGUUCUGGAUUUGGCUAGAUGGCGGUGACACCAAUGGCUAUGAAGCAGCGGUGGUGGUGAUGACGGUUGGUGAAGUGGCUGUGAAUGGAUUCAGGGGUGUUGGUGACGAACAUCAGAUAUCGAUGAUAGAGCCACAAUGUGAACAAUGGCCAGAAUUGGCAGACAAAUGAACAGAGAAGAUGUAAUGGACUGGAUCUGCAGUCAGAGAUGCUUGAUCAAGGGCAUAGACGGAUGAUGGAUGGGGAAGAUGAAGGGCCCUAACUUGGGCCCUGAUAGAGGUGCGUUUUGGCUUCAUCAAUGGCCGGACCUGGGGAUGACGUUUCCGAAGAAGAGGAGAUCCGGUUGCAACAGACACUAAAUGGCUGGGUCUGAUGGUGGCAGCUGUUGAACAAAGUAGCAGGUCUGUCAAUGGCAGAUCUGAUGAUGUGUUUGGACGAUGACAGGGAAGAAGAUGGGCGUCAGGUUGCAACGUUGAUUCUGGCUGCAAAUCGGGGUGUAACAGGGCUGAUGCAAGGGCAGCGGUGGAUGUAGGUGACCAGCUGUGAUGCUGGAUGGGGAAAUAUGGGAUGCUGAAGCCGGAUGAAAAGAAGGUUGUGGGCGGCGGCAACGGUGAUAGAGUUCUGGUGUUGCCAACGACGGAGGAGAUGAAAGAGGGUUUUGGUGAUGAUGUUGCUGAAAUCAAUGGUGACGAGGGAAAAAGUACGAAGGAAAAGGAGAAGCAACCUUGUUGCCAGAUAUGACGAGUUUGCAGAAUGGAUUUCCGGACCAGGUGCAUCGUCUGCAUAUGGUGGAAUGAACAAGGAAGAUGGCUGCAAUGACAUUGAUUUGUCACAAUCCACAGGUACAAAAAGCAGGUCAAUUGGCAUGGUCUUGAGAAGUUCGAGUGCCUACAGAAAGGCGA